AGCGUUUUGAAGGUGUCAGCAGGGCGUCUUCAAUGGAAGGAGCUACCCAACCACACUGGGAGGUUCACAGGACCGGGGGCAGGACUGGGGGGAGCCGGGGCUAAGGUGUCGUGGUUCCACCAAGCACCCAGCCGCGGCCCCCGCGGCCCCCCACUUGCCCUGGUCCCCUCUCCGCCUCGCUCUCGGAUGGGCUCCUGGAUUCUUAGUUUCUGCUCCGAAGUGUCCCGGGCACAGAACCGGACCGUCCCGUCAAGGACCGCGCCGCCGCCGCCUCUGACAGACGCACAGCAGCUAUGACUCCCAUAAUUCACAGCAAAAAAAACCAACAAACCACACACACAAAACGCGUUGGAGUCCCUGUGUCCGCGGAGACAGGCCCCAUUGGGGAUCAGAGGCACCGAAGUACAGCUCCGAGGCGGUCCGUACCCGCCGACCUGCCGGACCUGCCCUGUCACCACGUUGCUGAACGAGAAUGACAGCCUGCCUAGCACCCCGACGGAAGAGGGGGGAAGAAAGGUCUACCCAACUUUCUUUCCAGUUGGAUGUAGGAAGAUACGAUCCAUAAGCAAAUCCCCAGCUCUACCUUCAGAAUAUAUCCAAAUUUGUCUUCCGAAUUUCGCUGCCACCAACCUGGUCCCAGCCACCAAUUCACGCCUGGAUGAUACCAUACUACCCUCCUGUCUGGUGUAACUACUACUACUCUUGCCUCUCAGUAUGUUCACUGCAGUAACUUCAGUAAUCAUUCUAAAUAAAGCAGU
Molossus molossus (Pallas's mastiff bat) is the source of this 758-nucleotide long non-coding RNA. RefSeq lists it as uncharacterized. The record is from RefSeq and is a predicted model, not a curated record. The transcript is spliced from 3 exons. Lineage: Eukaryota; Metazoa; Chordata; Mammalia; Chiroptera; Molossidae.